RNAcentral lists this ribosomal RNA (373 nucleotides) under uncultured organism. RNAcentral's name for it is "partial 16S ribosomal RNA". It matches the Rfam family "Bacterial small subunit ribosomal RNA", at positions 527 to 896 of the family's 1533-position model. The record is from RNAcentral.
GUAGGUGGCAAGCGUUGUCCGGAAUUAUUGGGCGUAAAGCGCGCGCAGGCGGUCCUUUAAGUCUGAUGUGAAAGCCCACGGCUCAACCGUGGAGGGUCAUUGGAAACUGGGGGACUUGAGUACAGAAGAGGAAAGCGGAAUUCCAAGUGUAGCGGUGAAAUGCGUAGAGAUUUGGAGGAACACCAGUGGCGAAGGCGGCUUUCUGGUCUGUAACUGACGCUGAGGCGCGAAAGCGUGGGGAGCAAACAGGAUUAGAUACCCUGGUAGUCCACGCCGUGAACGAUGAGUGCUAAGUGUUAGGGGGGUUUCCCGCCCCCUUAGUGCUGCAGCUAACGCAUUAAGCACUCGCCUGGGGAGUACGGCCGCAAGGCUG